Molecule: ribosomal RNA, 342 nt
Filed under: uncultured bacterium
Lineage: Bacteria
Description: bacterial SSU rRNA
Rfam family: Bacterial small subunit ribosomal RNA
Source: RNAcentral
GGGAGCGCACAACCGGUGGAGCAUGUGGUUUAAUUCGAUACAAAGCGAAAGACCUUACCCGGACUUGACAUGUACCUGCACGGAUAUGGAAACAUAUCUUUCUUCGAGAGUGGUACACAGGUGAUGCAUGGCUGUCGUCAGCUCGUGUCGUGAGACGUCCACUUAAGUGUGGUAACGAGCGCAACCCUUGUUCUGUGUUAUAAGUGUCACAGAAGACUGCCUUUGUUAUACAAAGGAGGAAGGAGAGGACGACGUCAAGUCAGCAUGUCCCUUACGUCCGGGGGCUACACACAUCCUACAAUGGAGCCGACAACAGGUUGCGACGGAGUAAUCCUAAGCUAA